UCCUUGCCACCCAAGAGACAAUUAACUAUCCACGAUGGAUUCUUAUGAAGGAGUCCUUGUCUCCCAAGAGACAAUUAUUUAUGCGGGAUCCUCAUGAAGGAUAAUUUCCGCCUUACUAAUCCUUACAGUGGUGAGAAACAUGUUCAAGGUAUUCUAAAAAAAUAGUUCACUCAAGAAAAAAAGAAAAAGAAAUCCAUCUAAGUCCACCAUUUCAUUAAUCAAACCCUCAAUUGAAAAAAGUGAAAAAGAAAGCCCUUAAGGGUGCCAUUAAUCAUUACAAAAAAGGCCCUUAAGAGCAUGGUUACAAAAAAAUCCCCUAAGGGCAUGGUUACAAAAAGAAGCCACAAAGGGCAGAAAUAACGAAGCCUCAAACUCACCGGCCUUCCUUCGAAACUCACAUUUCUUCGGGAAUGUUCUAUUGGCGAGCAUAAUACUCCUAGGGAAUUUUCUCCUCAUCUCCUUGUAACCUUCAGGUUUAGUCUAAGUUCGCCCAUCAAGAGAUAUGCAGACUCAUUGGGAGGCGGAACC
RNAcentral lists this long non-coding RNA (528 nucleotides) under Lathyrus oleraceus (garden pea). RNAcentral describes it as "Pisum sativum (pea) long non-coding RNA (PSAT_LNC036666)". The record is from RNAcentral. Lineage: Eukaryota; Viridiplantae; Streptophyta; Magnoliopsida; Fabales; Fabaceae.